Molecule: small nucleolar RNA, 123 nt
Filed under: Colobus angolensis palliatus
Lineage: Eukaryota; Metazoa; Chordata; Mammalia; Primates; Cercopithecidae
Description: Small nucleolar RNA SNORA61 (ENSCANG00000009244.1)
Source: RNAcentral
UUCCUUGGUGACAGGGCAAAACUUUGUCUUAAAAAAAACAAAAACAAAGGAGGAAAAGUAAUAGUGAAGCUGGCCUGAAUGUUGUAAUCUGGUAUAUGGCAUGUGGGCUAGUUUCAGACAGGU